GUGCACCAGGCGCGAAUUUGGGCAAUGGCCGAAAGGCUGACCCAGCGACGCUGCGUGUGGGAUGAAGCCCUUCGGGGGCGUAAACCACUUUUCAGAAGGACGAGGGUUCAUCCGGCGAAUACCCGGACGGAUUGACGGUACUUCUGGAAUAAGCUCUGGCUAACCCCGUGCCAGCAGCCGCGGUAAGACGGGGGAGCAAGCGUUGCCCGGAAUCAUUGGGCUUAAAGGGGGCGUAGGCGGUUAGGUGUGGUCAGACGUGUAAACUAUCGGCUCAACCGAUAGCCUGCGUUUGAAACUACCUAGCUCGAAGGGCGAAAGAGGAGAGCGGAACUCCCGGUGUAGCGGUGAAAUGCGUAGAUA
This 360-nucleotide ribosomal RNA is filed under the name uncultured microorganism. RNAcentral's name for it is "bacterial SSU rRNA". It matches the Rfam family "Bacterial small subunit ribosomal RNA", at positions 346 to 696 of the family's 1533-position model. The record is from RNAcentral.